RNAcentral lists this ribosomal RNA (1032 nucleotides) under Salmonella enterica subsp. enterica serovar Heidelberg. Its description in RNAcentral is "bacterial LSU rRNA". It matches the Rfam family "Bacterial large subunit ribosomal RNA", at positions 521 to 1319 of the family's 2925-position model. Lineage: Bacteria; Pseudomonadati; Pseudomonadota; Gammaproteobacteria; Enterobacterales; Enterobacteriaceae. The record is from RNAcentral.
GAACCCCGGCGAGGGGAGUGAAAAAGAACCUGAAACCGUGUACGUACAAGCAGUGGGAGCACAGGUUUACCUGUGUGACUGCGUACCUUUUGUAUAAUGGGUCAGCGACUUAUAUUCUGUAGCAAGGUUAACCGUAUAGGGGAGCCGUAGGGAAACCGAGUCUUAACCGGGCGUUAAGUUGCAGGGUAUAGACCCGAAACCCGGUGAUCUAGCCAUGGGCAGGUUGAACCUUUGGGGUGUGACUGCGUACCUUUUGUAUAAUGGGUCAGCGACUUAUAUUCUGUAGCAAGGUUAACCGAAUAGGGGAGCCGGAGGGAAACCGAGUCUUAAUUGGGCGUUAAGUUGCAGGGUAUAGACCCGAAACCCGGUGAUCUAGCCAUGGGCAGGUUGAAGGUUGGGUAACACUAACUGGAGGACCGAACCGACUAAUGUUGAAAAAUUAGCGGAUGACCUGUGGCUGGGGGUGAAAGGCCAAUCAAACCGGGAGAUAGCUGGUUCUCCCCGAAAGCUAUUUAGGUAGCGCCUCGUGAAUUCAUCUCCGGGGGUAGAGCACUGUUUCGGCUAGGGGGCCAUCCCGGCUUACCAACCCGAUGCAAACUGCGAAUACCGGAGAAUGUUAUCACGGGAGACACACGGCGGGUGCUAACGUCCGUCGUGAAGAGGGAAACAACCCAGACCGCCAGCUAAGGUCCCAAAGUCAUGGUUAAGUGGGAAACGAUGUGGGAAGGCCCAGACAGCCAGGAUGUUGGCUUAGAAGCAGCCAUCAUUUAAAGAAAGCGUAAUAGCUCACUGGUCGAGUCGGCCUGCGCGGAAGAUGUAACGGGGCUAAACCAUGCACCGAAGCUGCGGCAGCGACACUGUGUGUUGUUGGGUAGGGGAGCGUUCUGUAAGCCUGUGAAGGUGUGUCGUGAGGCAUGCUGGAGGUAGAUGCGUUGUUGGGUAGGGGAGCGUUCUGUAAGCCUGCGAAGGUGACCUGUGAGGGUUGCUGGAGGUAUCAGAAGUGCGAAUGCUGACAUAAGUAACGAUAAAGCG